Molecule: ribosomal RNA, 337 nt
Filed under: Rhodococcus sp. R-31840
Lineage: Bacteria; Bacillati; Actinomycetota; Actinomycetes; Mycobacteriales; Nocardiaceae
Description: bacterial SSU rRNA
Rfam family: Bacterial small subunit ribosomal RNA
Source: RNAcentral
CUCAGGACGAACGCUGGCGGCGUGCUUAACACAUGCAAGUCGAACGGUGAUGACCAGCUUGCUGGUCGGAUCAGUGGCGAACGGGUGAGUAACACGUGAGUAACCUGCCCCAGACUCUGGGAUAAGCCUUGGAAACGAGGUCUAAUACUGGAUAUGAGACGCCCCUGCAUGGGGAGUGUCUGGAAAGAUUUAUCGGUCUGGGAUGGACUCGCGGCCUAUCAGCUUGUUGGUGGGGUAAUGGCCUACCAAGGCGACGACGGGUAGCCGGCCUGAGAGGGCGACCGGCCACACUGGGACUGAGACACGGCCCAGACUCCUACGGGAGGCAGCAGUGGGG